This is a long non-coding RNA of Penaeus indicus, 280 nucleotides long. RefSeq lists it as uncharacterized. Lineage: Eukaryota; Metazoa; Arthropoda; Malacostraca; Decapoda; Penaeidae. The record is from RefSeq and is a predicted model, not a curated record. The transcript is spliced from 3 exons.
CAGAAACAACCCAGUGUUCGACGUGGCCAAGGAGCUCGGGCUGUUAGGGGAACCUGUAGCAGAACCUGAUUGGGAGAGCAACGUCGUGACGAGCGACGGGGAGAAGAUGCCCUUGGCGAACGUCCUUAAGGGCGCCAGCAUCCUGCAGCAGCUCCGACAGGACGAAAGGGAGGAGCACCGCUUCCCCAUGUACAGAGACCGGCCGCUUGGGGAGUUCUACCUGGACAGGUUUGAAGAGCUGUGGGGAUCCUCUGAUAACGAUAAGGACAAACAGGCGUGG